Molecule: RNA transcript, 2551 nt
Organism: Myzus persicae (green peach aphid)
Lineage: Eukaryota; Metazoa; Arthropoda; Insecta; Hemiptera; Aphididae
Gene name: UDP-N-acetylglucosamine--peptide N-acetylglucosaminyltransferase-like
Exons: 10
Source: RefSeq, a predicted model, not a curated record
UGUUUCUGGUGGCUGCUCCGGACGCUCCGGUAGUCGUGUAAUGGUCGUGUAACACUGUUAAAUUGUUUGUAAUUUUGUACGCGUCUGUUUCUGUUCGGUGCUAGCUUGUGCUUGUUCUUUCUCUCUCCGUCGUUCUCCUCUGUUCACGGGUUUCCAACUAUUUCCGCGUCUGCUCAGUUCGCCCGUUCGCCGUUCGGCAGUUUUUUUUUCACGGUUUCACGGUACACGGCGUUUGUGAUUAAUAUUAUUAAUUAUUAUAAUAUUCUUUUAUCGGUUAAUUAUUUUUCUGUGAUUUAAUAAACACACGUUAAACGAUUGCGCGAGUGGUGUUCUGAAUUCCAAGCUCCUGUGCGUAGGCACCGGAUCCAAUCCACGUUCACGGCACAGGCCGAGCGGCGCAGCUACUACUCACUCUCCGGCGACUGGCGUUUUACAAUUUCUUAGUUCACUUCACUGCACUUAAAUACGUCAUAACAGAUCGGAGUACUGGAGCCUGAAAUCAUAGUCCGUUCUGUGUGUCUACCAUUGCAACUGGAAUAUGUUUAAAACAUUCUGUGCAAGGUGCUUUGAGUUUUGACGUCAUCUGUGGAUCAACAUCAACCCGCUAUUGUUGUACCUAUAUUGAUUGUCAGCAGCCUGGCCAUACAUUUAUGUUCAUUGUCUUCAAUUGGAAAAUCACAAGUGUAUAGUAUUUUAAACUAUGAAUUUUCUGCAAUUUGAUGAAUUUCAUGACUCAAUGAACGAAUUGAGACCUGCAAAAAAACAAGCCCAGUUAGAUGUGUUUUGUUCAAAAUAUUCAAACAGUGAAGCACCAAUAUCAGUUAUUGCAAAGAUCUUGUCAGAAAAUUACUCUUUAAAACUUAAAAAUAUUUCCGAUGAAUUCGACAAGGUAGGGUUUACCAAAGUGAAGCAUUUGGCACAAGCAACCCUUGAAAAAGUAAGGUUGGUGCAGUUAUCUGGAGAUUCUCUAAAGCUGCUUAAUGGAGCUAUGGAGAUAUAUAGUAAACGCCUUGAUGAUUUCUUACAAUCUGCAUACUUAGAAUUUCAAAAUGGAAAUUUAUACAAUACUCAACGAAUAUGUAAAGAAUUAUUUUUACAUAAACCAACAGACAUGGAUGUUAUUAUGCUUCAAUCCAGUUCAUUUUACAAAGGCGGAAAUUAUCAAGAAUGUAUUGAUUGUCUACUAAUAGGAAAAAAUAUUAAUCCUAAUUGUACCAAACUCUUAAAUAACCUUGCAAUAUCUUAUUUUAAAAAUUCCGAAAUUGAAUUAUCAAAAAAAUAUCUUUCUGAAGUUUGUCGAUUACAACCUUCGGUUGGUAAUUUGUCCAUAUAUGCCGAAUUGUUACGCCAUUCAAAAGACUUCACCACAGCUGAACUUACUUAUAUACGGGUUUUAAAGCUAGACCCUGAACUAUACAAAGUACGUAAUAACUAUGGAGAGUUGCUUGUAGACUUAAACAAAAUACAAGAGGCUAAAAUGCAAUUUAAGAUUGCCCUUAACAGUGGGACAGAAUGUUCAAGAACUUUAAGGAAUUUAGGAUUUCUUUAUAAUUUAAUCGGUAAAUUUGAAAAAGCUAUUUCUUAUUUUGAUAGAGCUUUGAAAGUUAAUCCUCAUCCAAAGGAUACUCGUGAUGGUUUAAUAGUGGCUUAUUUAAAAAUUAAAGAGUAUCAAAAAGCAAUUACUGAAUUAUUAAAAAUAUUAAAAACAGAUCCAGAAAAUGAAAAAGUUUUAACUUAUUUAGCACUUGCAUACAAUAUUCUAGGUAAUCACCUAAUGUCUGCUGCAGUAUAUAAAAAGUGCUUGAAACUUAAACCUGACGACUUUCGUUUUAAUUAUAAUAUUUCUUUGGUAUAUUUUACUUUUCUUAAAAAUUAUGAAGAAGCUAUAAUAUAUUUAAAAAAAUGUAUCGAGUUAAAUCCGAAUAAAAACCUUUACUCUAUGCUUAUGACUGCAUACAAGGAAAUUGGUGAACACAUAAAUGUGUCUGAUAUUGCCCUCAUAUUGGGUGAUUUGUAUCUGGAAUCUGAUGAGCUGGACCAGGCAAGAAUACAUUUCAUUCGCGCAGUAAGUUACAACCCUGAGAAUGCAAUUUGUCAUUGGAAGGUGGGACUGAUCAUGUUUACUCAGGAUGAUUUAGACACGGCUUUUUCCAGUUAUUCUAACUGUGGAAACUCAUGGAGAUAUUGCAACUGCUAUUUCUGGUAAGCUAAAUCGUGUUCUUUUGAAAAACAAAGGCUGGAAACAAUUACUGGACAUUAACACUUUACUGUGUGGCGUUUCAUCAGACAAAAUUAAUUAUCAUGGGUUUGAUUUAAACAAAACUUCUUGCAUGAAGUAUGCACCGAUCACUUCAGUGGAUGUAGAGCGAUCAUUUUCUAUGUAUAAAAACAUCAUGUCAGACAAUAGAGUCAGUUUCACUUCUGAAAAUCUUGCCAAAUACAUGUUAUGAAAAAGCUAUUGAAUUGAAUCCAGAUCUGAGAAACUAUAAAUGUGAAGGCAAGAAAUAUUAUGAUAAGUAUAAAAAAUAUAUGGAAUCACCAUUAGACAAAU